Molecule: non-coding RNA, 25 nt
Filed under: Rattus norvegicus (Norway rat)
Lineage: Eukaryota; Metazoa; Chordata; Mammalia; Rodentia; Muridae
Source: RNAcentral
UGUGUGGUUCCGAGUUCUGCCUCUC